CAGGCAAAAAUUGCAUGUCUGGGCCACUGGAAACAUAAAAGCACACCUCUCCUCAACAAGCCACAUGAUUUGAGCUGUUUGGACUCUCAUUCUGACGGCACCCAUUCACUACAGAGGAUCCAUUGAUGAGGAAGUCAUGUAAUGCUAAAUUUUGAUGAAGAAACAACCUCUUCAAAGGCCUGAGAAAAAAACACUUUUAAUGAUCAAACUGAUUCCUGAUGGAAUUGUGUUCUGAAGAUG
Molecule: long non-coding RNA, 240 nt
Organism: Labeo rohita (rohu)
Lineage: Eukaryota; Metazoa; Chordata; Actinopteri; Cypriniformes; Cyprinidae
Exons: 3
Source: RefSeq, a predicted model, not a curated record